GAGUGCUGUGGGUGGGUCCGCUCUAUAGGUUUUUUUGCGGGAGGGGGUGGAGUCUUUGUGGGGCAGGGCAGGUGUGCUGUAUUUGGCUGCAGAUCACAGCAUGUGCACAGCAUCUCUGCAUUUGGCCUGCCGCUGCCGGGAUCUUGAAUUGAGGUAGGGUGCAGGGAUUCUGUGGUAGGAAAUCUGGUCUGAAGUGCCUGGUCUGAGUCCUCUGCUUGGGGCACCCUUGUGAGUGAGUGAAACUAGACUCAGCACAAAGGAAAAGGAAGAAAAGGAAAAGAGGGGAUCUUCCCAACCCAGAGAUCGAACCCUCAUCCCCUGUGUCUCCUGCAUUGGCAGGCAGAUUCUUUACCACUGAGCCAUCUGGGAAGCCCUCAGGCAGAUGAAUAUGGAAAGUCAAAUCACAACUGUGGGACCUUUAGCAAGGCAUCUAAACAUGAAACCUGAUGAGCUUUGAAUCAGGUCAAGUUUCCAAAUGGACUGGGUCUGCACUAACAAGUAGUGAAAUGUGCCUCCAGCCGCCUUGCAGCUGUGGAAGAAACGGAUUGCAACUCCAGUGGACUCAUUUUACCUGGCAGCAGAGCACUGGAAGGCUCGCCCAUCUGUCAACACACAUUUCUCUUCCAAUCUCCUUGAGCCCCUUCUUGAGUUCUUUCUUGUUUGAAGAGAAAAGCAAGAGCUAUUCAAAGUGGUGGCUUUUUAUAAGGGCAUUUCAAGUACAGUCAGCGCUAGAAAGUUUACUUACGUGGUGUUCGUGUUGUGGAUUAUACUCAUUUGACUCUAUUCUCUUUGCUUGCUAGUAUUCUCUUCAUUGCUUCACCCACCAAGUAAGUAUAUUGAAAAAUAACAGAUUCAUUAAUUAAAUAUAAACCAAACAGGCUCUAAUAACUCAAAGCAAAGAAAAAGCCAAUUAGAAAGUUCUUUAGCCUGAGUUCUGUUUGUACUUCAAAUGGAAAGGAAAAUAAUUUCUAAAAUCAAGUUAAAUUAUUUAUUAUAUGUGUUGAUAAAUAAGUUUUACAGGAGCAUAGGUCCACCCUCUGAAACGUGUAACAUUAUCACUUACUCAUGGCUUUCAAAUGGCAUGAGUAAUGGCUGACAUCUCAUUAAAUAUAAGCAAAUGCUUGUCCAGACCAUUCUUGUUAACUGGGACUACCUGGGAUGAAACUGUCACUUGUUCACUGUUAUAAACAUUAGCCCUCUAAGCCCACUGUAUCUGUAGGCAGAAACAUUCAUCAGUGAUGAUUGAAAUAUUUCCUUAUUAAUGCACUUCUCCCGCUAUUUCUGGGUAGGAAGUGAGCUAGGAGAUUUAGUUCAAGCACCAUUUGGUGCUGAUGUACCAUUGUGCAGAUUUUAAGAUUACUUCAACUGGUUGAGUAGAAGCAGCUUACUCAGUAUAAUUGCAGCUUCUCAGCUAUCAUCCAAGAACCUGAGGGAAAGUAAGACAGAAAGAAAGGGAGAAAGAAAAUCAGUGCUUAAGAAGAUGGUAUUAUGCCUUGGCUUACUAAGGUUUUGUGUCUUUGACUAGCCAUACAUAAUCUGCUGAAAGCGUAUUCAAAGAUAUACCACUUUGCUGAAGUAGCUUAGAGAAAGGAAAUACAUGCCAGGCAAGAGUACUGGAGUGGGUUGCCAUUGCCUUCUCUGAGGAAAUAUAUGGGAAUGCUGUUAAUCAUCCUGAAUGUUAAAAGGCACAGGUAGCAGAGUUUUUUUGUCAAUGAAUUUGUCUAUCAUUCUCUAUUAUCACUAAUGUCUGUACAGAUUUUCUUACUUCCCUUCUGUAACUUUUUUUUUUAUUGAAAUAUGGUUGAUUUACAAUGUUGUGUUAAUUACUGCUGUACAACAAAGUGAUUUACUUAUACAUAUUUAUACAUCCUUUUUAAUAUUCUUUUCCAUUGUGGUUUAUUGCAGGAUAUUGAAUAUAUUUGCCUGUGGUACAUAGUAAGACCUUGUUGAUACAGUCCAUAUAUAAUAGCUUGCUAACCCCAACCAUAUACUCUCUUCCUCCCCACUCCCCCCAUGGCAACCACCAGUCUGUUCACUAUGUCUGUGAUCCUGUUUCAUAGAUAGAUUCAUUUGUGUCAUAUUUUAGGUUCCACAUAUAAGUGAAAUCAUAUGGUAUUUGUCUUUCUUUUUCUGA
This is a long non-coding RNA of Bubalus bubalis (water buffalo), 2134 nucleotides long. RefSeq lists it as uncharacterized. The record is from RefSeq and is a predicted model, not a curated record. NCBI's taxonomy places the organism in Eukaryota, Metazoa, Chordata, Mammalia, Artiodactyla, Bovidae. The transcript has 4 exons.